CCUACGGGGGGCUGCAGUGGGGAAUAUUGGACAAUGGGGGGAACCCUGAUCCAGCCAUGCCGCGUGUGUGAAGAAGGCCCUCGGGUUGUAAAGCACUUUCAGUGAGGAAGAACGCCUGGUGGUUAAUACCCAUCAGGAAAGACAUCACUCACAGAAGAAGCACCGGCUAACUCCGUGCCAGCAGCCGCGGUAAUACGGAGGGUGCGAGCGUUAAUCGGAAUUACUGGGCGUAAAGCGCGCGUAGGUGGCUUGAUAAGCCGGUUGUGAAAGCCCCGGGCUCAACCUGGGAACGGCAUCCGGAACUGUCAAGCUAGAGUGCAGGAGAGGAAGGUAGAAUUCCCGGUGUAGCGGUGAAAUGCGUAGAGAUCGGGAGGAAUACCAGUGGCGAAGGCGGCCUUCUGGACUGACACUGACACUGAGGUGCGAAAGCGUGGGUAGCAAACAGGAUUAGAUACCCUUGUAGCC
RNAcentral lists this ribosomal RNA (465 nucleotides) under Vreelandella stevensii. RNAcentral's name for it is "partial 16S ribosomal RNA". It matches the Rfam family "Bacterial small subunit ribosomal RNA", at positions 338 to 795 of the family's 1533-position model. The record is from RNAcentral. Lineage: Bacteria; Pseudomonadati; Pseudomonadota; Gammaproteobacteria; Oceanospirillales; Halomonadaceae.